Molecule: ribosomal RNA, 1495 nt
Filed under: uncultured prokaryote
Description: partial 16S ribosomal RNA
Rfam family: Bacterial small subunit ribosomal RNA
Source: RNAcentral
AGGGUUUGAUCCUGGCUCAGGAUGAACGCUAGCGGCAGGCUUAACACAUGCAAGUCGAGGGGUAACAGGAAUUGCUUGCAAUUCGCUGACGACCGGCGCACGGGUGCGUAACGCGUAUACAAUCUACCUUUUACAGAGGGAUAGCCCGAAGAAAUUCGGAUUAAUACCUCAUAAUAUUGUUUAACCGCAUGGUUGAAUAAUUAAAGUUUCGGCGGUAAAAGAUGAGUAUGCGUUCUAUUAGUUAGUUGGUAAGGUAACGGCUUACCAAGACAGCGAUAGAUAGGGGUCCUGAGAGGGAGAUCCCCCACACUGGUACUGAGACACGGACCAGACUCCUACGGGAGGCAGCAGUGAGGAAUAUUGGACAAUGGGCGAGAGCCUGAUCCAGCCAUGCCGCGUGCAGGAAGGACUGCCCUAUGGGUUGUAAACUGCUUUUAUACAGGAAGAAACACUCCCUCGUGAGGGAGCUUGACGGUACUGUAAGAAUAAGGAUCGGCUAACUCCGUGCCAGCAGCCGCGGUAAUACGGAGGAUCCAAGCGUUAUCCGGAAUCAUUGGGUUUAAAGGGUCCGUAGGUGGAUAAUUAAGUCAGAGGUGAAAGUUUGCGGCUCAACCGUAAAAUUGCCUUUGAUACUGGUUAUCUUGAGUUAUUGUGAAGUAGUUAGAAUAUGUAGUGUAGCGGUGAAAUGCAUAGAUAUUACAUAGAAUACCAAUUGCGAAGGCAGAUUACUAACAAUAUACUGACACUGAUGGACGAAAGCGUGGGUAGCGAACAGGAUUAGAUACCCUGGUAGUCCACGCCGUAAACGAUGGAUACUAGCUGUUGGGCUGUUGGGCUUCGGCUCAGUGGCUAAGCGAAAGUGAUAAGUAUCCCACCUGGGGAGUACGUUCGCAAGAAUGAAACUCAAAGGAAUUGACGGGGGCCCGCACAAGCGGUGGAGCAUGUGGUUUAAUUCGAUGAUACGCGAGGAACCUUAUCAGGGCUUAAAUGUAAGUUGCAUGAUUUAGAGAUAGCUUUUUCUUCGGACUACUUACAAGGUGCUGCAUGGUUGUCGUCAGCUCGUGCCGUGAGGUGUCAGGUUAAGUCCUAUAACGAGCGCAACCCCUGUUGUUAGUUGCCAGCGAGUCAUGUCGGGAACUCUAACAAGACUGCCAGUGCAAACUGUGAGGAAGGUGGGGAUGACGUCAAAUCAUCACGGCCCUUACGUCCUGGGCUACACACGUGCUACAAUGGUAGGUACAGAGGGCAGCCACUGCGCGAGCAGGAGCGAAUCCUUAAAACCUAUCUCAGUUCGGAUCGGAGUCUGCAACUCGACUCCGUGAAGCUGGAAUCGCUAGUAAUCGGAUAUCAGCCAUGAUCCGGUGAAUACGUUCCCGGGCCUUGUACACACCGCCCGUCAAGCCAUGGAAGCUGGGAGUGCCUGAAGUCGGUGACCGCAAGGAGCUGCCUAGGGUAAAACUAGUAACUGGGGCUAAGUCGAAACAAGGUAGCCGUA